AAUUUCUUAAAAUUUUAUUUAUUAGAUUCUCUGAAAUAAAAUGAGAUGAUACAAAAAAAAAAUGAACUGUAGUUCAUUUCUUCCUAAGUUCAUCUACUAUUUCAUAUAUAUCGGCGAGAAUCUUGUUGUUGAUCAGGAUGUCAACCUCUAGUUCAAAAGUCCUAGCCAUCAACUUGUCGAUGAGGGCGUGCAUCUCUUGCUGGAAUAUCUCCAGCUUCUCCCUCAAAGGCAUCUCCUCCUCUUCGGAGGCUGCCUCUUCCCCAUUAUUGACUCUUGGAUCUCUGGAUGCCAUUUUACAAUAAUAUGAGAUUGAUU
Molecule: long non-coding RNA, 315 nt
Filed under: Theobroma cacao (cacao)
Lineage: Eukaryota; Viridiplantae; Streptophyta; Magnoliopsida; Malvales; Malvaceae
Description: long non-coding RNA (TCAC_LNC000832)
Source: RNAcentral